Molecule: ribosomal RNA, 427 nt
Filed under: uncultured bacterium
Lineage: Bacteria
Description: bacterial SSU rRNA
Rfam family: Bacterial small subunit ribosomal RNA
Source: RNAcentral
UGGGGAAUUUUGGGCAAUGGGCGCAAGCCUGAUCCAGCAAUGCCGCGUGCAGGAUGAACGCCUUCGGGUUGUAAACUGCUUUUGUACGGCGCGAAAAUGUCUGCCCUAAUACGGUGGGCACAUGACGGUACCGUAAGUAUAAGCACCGGCUAACUACGUGCCAGCAGCCGCGGGAAUACGUAGGGUGCGAGCGUUAAUCGGAAUUACUGGGCGUAAAGCGUGCGCAGGCGGUUAUAUAAGACAGAGGUGAAAUCCCCGGGCUCAACCUGGGACCUGCAUUUGUGACUGUAUAGCUAGAGUACGGUAGAGGGGGAUGGAAUUCCGCGUGUAGCAGUGAAAUGCGUAGAUAUGCGGAGGAACACCGAUGGCGAAGGCAAUCCCCUGGACCUGUACUGACGCUCAUGCACGAAAGCGUGGGGAGCAAACA